Molecule: ribosomal RNA, 397 nt
Filed under: uncultured bacterium
Lineage: Bacteria
Description: partial 16S ribosomal RNA
Rfam family: Bacterial small subunit ribosomal RNA
Source: RNAcentral
AUACGUAGGUGACAAGCGUUAUCCGGAUUUACUGGGCGUAAAGGGCGUGUAGGCGGUCUUGCAAGUCAGAAGUGAAAUUCCUGAGCUCAACUCGGGCGCUGCUUCUGAAACUGCAGGACUUGAGUGCUGGAGGGGAUAGCGGAAUUCCUAGUGGAGCGGUAAAAUGCGCAGAUAUUAGGAAGAACACCGGUGGCGAAGGCGGCUAUCUGGACAGUAACUGACGCUGAGGCGCGAAAGCGUGGGGAGCAAACAGGAUUAGAUACCCUGGUAGUCCACGCCGUAAACGACGAAUACUAGGUGUAGGGGGUAUCGACUCCCUCUGUGCCGCAGUUAACACAAUAAGUAUUCCGCCUGGGGAGUACGGCCGCAAGGUUGAAACUCAAAUGAAUUGACGGGG